CAAGGACGAGAUCAAGAACGACGCCUGCGAGCAGGAGGUGCUGUACUUUGAGAAGAUGGAGGUGUCCAACUUCAACAACGACGUCAUCCUGGCCGCCGCCUGCCGCGAGGACGUGCAGAGACUCUGCCCUAACACCCAGCCCGGUGAGUGAGCCGCGUCCUCUCCGGCUGCUGCGGCGGCGGCUUCCUGGGCGCCUCGGCCUUCUGCAAGCCGGCCACGGCACGUCCGGGACCGUACAGCUGACCCCAUGACUGCCCUGCCAAACCGCAUCUUCCCGCCCGGGAAGACUUGUGACGUGGUGGGCUUUCUGAUCAUGCCGGGACUUCUUUGUCCGGCUCGUGCAUGCACCCCUCCAUGACUCCAUUUUCCAUGGGUGGCUACGCCCCUUACGCCCGAUUCUCGCCGUGCCUGCAAAUGGCGCCCACGCAGGCGAGGGCCGCAUGCACGAGUGCCUGCGCGCGCACCGCUCCGAGCUGUCCGACACCUGCCGCAAGGAGGAGCUGCUGCUGGAGGAGCAGGAGGCCGAGAACGUGGAGCUGCGCCCCGGCCUGCUGCGCACCUGCCGCAGCGAGCGCCGCACCUUC
RNAcentral lists this long non-coding RNA (584 nucleotides) under Chlamydomonas reinhardtii. RNAcentral's name for it is "long non-coding RNA (CREI_LNC000987)". Lineage: Eukaryota; Viridiplantae; Chlorophyta; Chlorophyceae; Chlamydomonadales; Chlamydomonadaceae. The record is from RNAcentral.